This 453-nucleotide ribosomal RNA is filed under the name uncultured bacterium. RNAcentral describes it as "bacterial SSU rRNA". It matches the Rfam family "Bacterial small subunit ribosomal RNA", at positions 340 to 786 of the family's 1533-position model. The record is from RNAcentral.
UACGGAAGGCAGCAGUGGGGAAUAUUGCACAAUGGGCGCAAGCCUGAUGCAGCCAUGCCGCGUGUAUGAAAGGACGUCGUCGUGUAAAGUACUUUCAGUCGUGAGGAAGGUGUUAAGGUUAAUAACCUUAGCAAUUGACGUUAGCGACAGAAGAAGCACCGGCUAACUCCGUGCCAGCAGCCGCGGUAAUACGGAGGGUGCGAGCGUUAAUCGGAAUUACUGGGCGUAAAGGGCACGCAGGCGGUUAAUUAAGUUGGAUGUGAAAUCCCCGGGCUUAACCUGGGAAUGGCAUUCAAGACUGGUUAGCUAGAGUCUUGUAGAGGGGGUAGAAUUCCAUGUGUAGCGGUGAAAUGCGUAGAGAUGUGGAGGAAUACCGGGUGGCGAAGGCGGCCCCUGGGACAAAGACUGACGCUCAUGUGCGAAAGCGUGGGGAGCAAACAGGGAUUAGAUACC